This 427-nucleotide ribosomal RNA is filed under the name uncultured microorganism. RNAcentral describes it as "bacterial SSU rRNA". It matches the Rfam family "Bacterial small subunit ribosomal RNA", at positions 9 to 429 of the family's 1533-position model. The record is from RNAcentral.
GAGUUUGAUCAUGGCUCAGGACGAACGCUGGCGGCGUGCCUAAUACAUGCAAGUCGAGCGGAUCUUCAUUAGCUUGCUUUUGAAGAUCAGCGGCGGACGGGUGAGUAACACGUGGGCAACCUGCCUGUAAGACUGGGAUAACUUCGGGAAACCGGAGCUAAUACCGGAUAAUCCUUUUCCUCUCAUGAGGAAAAGCUGAAAGACGGUUUCGGCUGUCACUUACAGAUGGGCCCGCGGCGCAUUAGCUAGUUGGUGAGGUAACGGCUCACCAAGGCGACGAUGCGCAGCCGACCUGAGAGGGUGAUCGGCCACACUGGGACUGAGACACGGCCCAGACUCCUACGGGAGGCAGCAGUAGGGAAUCUUCCGCAAUGGACGAAAGUCUGACGGAGCAACGCCGCGUGAGCGAUGAAGGCCUGGUCGUAAG